ACUCCUACGGGAGGCAGCAGUGGGGAAUAUUGCACAAUGGGCGCAAGCCUGAUGCAGCAACGCCGUGUGAGUGAAGAAGGUUUUCGGAUCGUAAAACUCUGUCCUAAGGGAAGAAAAAAUGACGGUACCUUAGGAGGAAGCCCGGCUAACUACGUGCCAGCAGCCGCGGUAAUACGUAGGGGGCAAGCGUUAUCCGGAAUCACUGGGGCGUAAAGGGGUGCGUAGGCGGCUUAGCAAGCCAGGGGUGAAAGGCAUUGGCUCAACCAAUGUAAGCCUUUGGAACUGUUAAGCUUGAGUGCAGGAGAGGUAAGUGGAAUUCCUAGUGUAGAGGUGAAAUUCGUAGAUAUUAGGAGGAACACCAGUGGCGAAGGCGACUUACUGGACUGUAACUGACGCUGAUGCACGAAAGCGUGGGUAGCGAACAGGAUUAGAUACCCUGGUAGGUCAGUC
RNAcentral lists this ribosomal RNA (450 nucleotides) under uncultured bacterium. RNAcentral's name for it is "bacterial SSU rRNA". It matches the Rfam family "Bacterial small subunit ribosomal RNA", at positions 335 to 800 of the family's 1533-position model. The record is from RNAcentral.